Molecule: ribosomal RNA, 434 nt
Filed under: Actinomycetales bacterium
Lineage: Bacteria; Bacillati; Actinomycetota; Actinomycetes; Actinomycetales
Description: bacterial SSU rRNA
Rfam family: Bacterial small subunit ribosomal RNA
Source: RNAcentral
AGUCGAACGAUGAUGGACCUUCGGGUUUGGAUUAGUGGCGAACGGGUGAGUAACACGUGAGUAACCUGCCCUUCACUGUGGGAUAACCUUCGGAAACGUGGGCUAAUACCGCAUAGGAGCUCCUGCUGCAUGGUGGGGGUUCGAAAGAUUUUUUGGUGGGGGAUGGGCUCGCGGCCUAUCAGCUUGAUGGUGGGGUGAUGGCCUACCAUGGCUUCGACGGGUAGCCGGCCUGAGAGGGCGACCGGCCACACUGGGACUGAGAUACGGCCCAGACUCCUACGGGAGGCAGCAGUGGGGAAUAUUGCACAAUGGGCGGAAGCCUGAUGCAGCAACGCCGCGUGCGGGAUGACGGCCUUCGGGUUGUAAACCGCUUUCACCUGUGACGAAGUUUUUUUGACGGUAGCAGGAGAAGAAGCACCGGCUAACUACGUGCC